AGCAGCCGCGGUAAUUCCAGCUCCAAUAGCGUAUAUUAAAGUUGCUGCAGUUAAAAGCUCGUAGUUGAAUUUCGGGACCAUCAUGUUGGUCGUGCCUCGGUACGUACUGGCAUUGUUGGUUUCUCCCUUCUGACGAACCAUGAUGUCAUUUAUUUGGUGUUGUGGGAAAUCAGGACUGUUACUUUGAAAAAUUGAGUGUUUAAAGCAGGCUCACGCUUGAAUACAUUAGCAUGGAAUAAUGAAAUAGGACGUUUGAUUCUAUUUUGUGGUUUCUAGGAUCGAUGUAAUGAUUAAUAGGGAUAGUUGGGGGCAUUAGUACUCAAUUGUCAGAGGUGAAAUUCUUGGAUUUAUUGAAGACUAACUACUGCGAAAGCAUUUGCCAAGGAUGUUUU
This 392-nucleotide ribosomal RNA is filed under the name uncultured Glomeromycotina. RNAcentral describes it as "SSU rRNA". It matches the Rfam family "Eukaryotic small subunit ribosomal RNA", at positions 569 to 970 of the family's 1831-position model. The record is from RNAcentral. Lineage: Eukaryota; Fungi; Glomeromycota.